RNAcentral lists this transfer RNA (64 nucleotides) under Sphaeroderma sp. BMNH 846647. RNAcentral's name for it is "tRNA-Phe". The record is from RNAcentral. Lineage: Eukaryota; Metazoa; Arthropoda; Insecta; Coleoptera; Chrysomelidae.
AUUCAAAUAGCUUAUUUAGAGUUUAAUAUUGAAGAUAUUAAGGAAGUUUUAAAACUUUUGAAUA